Molecule: non-coding RNA, 29 nt
Filed under: Homo sapiens (human)
Lineage: Eukaryota; Metazoa; Chordata; Mammalia; Primates; Hominidae
Source: RNAcentral
UGAGGACAACCUACUGGACAAUGAUAAAC